Molecule: small nucleolar RNA, 71 nt
Organism: Xiphophorus couchianus (Monterrey platyfish)
Lineage: Eukaryota; Metazoa; Chordata; Actinopteri; Cyprinodontiformes; Poeciliidae
Source: Ensembl
UCUGAUCUAUGAUGACUCUCAAGUGAGCAGACUGCUGGAUGAAGCUUGCGGAUAUGGGACUGAGAUCAGAC